Long non-coding RNA from Papilio polytes (common Mormon), 1116 nucleotides. RefSeq lists it as uncharacterized. NCBI's taxonomy places the organism in Eukaryota, Metazoa, Arthropoda, Insecta, Lepidoptera, Papilionidae. The transcript has 3 exons. The record is from RefSeq and is a predicted model, not a curated record.
AAAUCUGAAAGUAAUUAUAACCGGUUUCCAGAUGACGAAGAUGUCUCCAAGUCAGGAGUGAGUAUGGCGGAGAUGGAGACAGCUGUUAUGAUGCAGGAGCUGCUGUCGGUGCAGGAGGCGCGCGCGACGGAGCGCGCUGCGGCGCUGCGCAGCGAGACUACGAGCGGGUCGUGUCGCAGCAGGAGACGGAAGGAGAGGGAGAGGGAGCGGCACUGGCUGGACAGCCGCGCCUCAGAGACCGACCUCUGAACACGCUGUAUACUGCUGUACACAACAUCCUGUAUACAUGGCGUGGACAUCUAGUACACAACAUUGAAUAUCUAUACUUGGUUGAACAUCAUGUAUAUGUAGUUGAACACCCUGUGUAUAUGGUUGAACUGUAUACAUGGUUGAACAUCCUGUAAACAAGGUGGAACAGCCUGUAUACAUAUGUAUGUACAACUAUGUAGUUGUACACUUGUAAGUGGUUGAAAACUUGAGUAUAUGGUUACAUACAUACUGUAUACAUACAUGGUUGUACACUUGUAAACAUAUUUGAACACCCUGUAUAUGUGGUUGAACGCCCUGUAUACAUGAACACCCUGUGUAUUUGCUUAAACAACAAACUGUAUAUAAAAUUGAACCCCUGAGUAUAUGAUUGAACAAAUUGAAUCACGGUUGAAUAUCGAAUCACCCUUUUAACAAAUUUACAAGAAAAGACAGGGGAGGGGACUCUUGCUGUACUCUCCCCUGUCUUAAAUUUUAACAAAAUUGUAGCUUCUCUGGCGUUAAUUCAAGGCUAUAUAAAACUGACGUCAAUCAAAUUAGUUACGUCAGAAAUCAAUUGUAAAUUAGAUGACGUCAUAGAGAUGACGUAUUAGCUUGUGGGCGUGGCUUAGCGGGAGGCGUGGUCACCACUUUAAUUAUUACGUUUUUUAUUUGGAAAAUCCAUACAAAUGAUUUCUAUUUCUUUAUAUAAUUGUUAAUAAAAUUAUAUCACGUCUUCCUCUUGAAUAAAUAACUUGAUUUAAGUUUAUUUUACUUAAUAGCUUAAGUAAUGGACGUGUCUAAGCCCCGCCCCCGCGUGUACAGAGAUGGUGCUAGGCAGGACUGGUAUCAAAUAAAUAUUAUAUUAUA